This 351-nucleotide small RNA is filed under the name Pan troglodytes (chimpanzee). RNAcentral's name for it is "sense intronic". The record is from RNAcentral. Lineage: Eukaryota; Metazoa; Chordata; Mammalia; Primates; Hominidae.
AAAAAUACCCCCUAAGCAGAGUAAUGCAUUUUGUUAUUAAGGAAUAGAAAUGCAAAUUUUGAGUGUGAAAAUUUGAUCUAGUAAACAAAAAUCAACCUCUAAGACCCUUUUAACCUAAAAUUGUUUUCAGAGUCUUCAUGUCUUUUCAUAUGUUCAUCCCUUUCUUUUUUUUUUUUUUUUUUUUUUUUUGUUUGAGACAUAGUCUCACUCUGUCACCCAGGCUGGAAUGCAAUGGCACAAUCUCAGCUCACUGCAACCUCCACCUCCCAGGAGGAUUGCUUGAGGCCAGGAGUUCGAGACCAGCCUGAGCAACAUAGUGAGGCCCCAUCUCUACAGAAGUUUUUAUAAAUU